Molecule: non-coding RNA, 1894 nt
Organism: Equus caballus (horse)
Lineage: Eukaryota; Metazoa; Chordata; Mammalia; Perissodactyla; Equidae
Source: RefSeq, a predicted model, not a curated record
GCAAGGUGGUGGCGACUUUAUAACCGGGAACCGCGGAGACGCUGAUUGACUGCUGUAGAAACCGGACCCGCAUUGGGAGUGAGAACUGGGGCCGCGUCAUGAGUCACCAGGCAGGAGGAGCUGACACAGGUGGUGGAUAUGACUCUGCACUCCAUGCAAGUGAAUUGUUGCAGUGUUCCAGAAUAUUCUGUGAUAGGCUGCUAGACUCAGAGCUGAGGAGGGCAUUCAAGGGGCAGUCAGUCUUAACUGCCCAAAACAGAGUAAAGUCCAUCAACCAGUGUCUAUUUCAAGGCGUCCAGUGAAUGAGGAUCAGCUAGACUCUAGAGAUACAGUGAAGAGCAAAAGAAGACUCUGGCAUUGUCCUGAGGGCGAUGGACAUUUAGCAGAAAUGACAAAGAUAAAUGAAACUCCUUCGGAGCAAGUGCUGUGAGGAAAACAUUCAUGAUGACCUGAAAGCAGAGAGCCAGAAGAACUAACAGGUUCCCUACCGCUGCUAUCAAUGAUAUCUAAAAGAUGGAAAAGAUUCAUGGUAUACGAAACAAGAACAGAAUUAUAUAAAAUUAUAUGCAGUCACACAGCUAGAAAGAGCUCUUGAAAGUUAAAAAUAUGAUCAUAGAAAUGAAUAAUUCAAUAGAUGAACUGGAAGAUUAAAGUCAUACUCCCAUGAAGUAGUACAGAUGGAAAAGUCACGGCAAGCAGGAGAGAAGACCUCGAAGAAUAUUAAUCCAUCAAUCAAGGGAUUCCAACACAUUAGUAGUACCGGUUUCAAAAGGAAUGGAGAGUAGGAAGUGAUAAGAAAAAGUUAAGAAAAUUUCUCAGCAUUUACAGACAAAAAUUUACAUCUUGAAUAUCCUAACAAAGUUCUCACUACAAUAGAUAAAAACAGACCCACACCAUGACAAACACAUUGGAAUUUCUGAGAGAAGAUGGAAAAGCAAGCCCUUGAAAACUUUAAGAGGCAACAAUCACAGACUUGGAGGCUAGCAGACAUUGCAGCAAUGCCUUCCAGAUUCCAAGGAAAACAUAUUCCAAUGCGGAGUUCUAUACCAAGUCAAGAUGUGAGUAAGGGCUGGGGCAGCCUAAACGUAUUUCAGAUGUUUAGAGUUUCACUGUUUUGCUUUCCAUGUUCCCUUCCUCAGGACACCACUGGGCAAUGAGGGGAACAAUGAUGGAGAACAUCAGAAAAGGGAGAAAAGUCAGAUCCAGGCAACAAAGGGGCUAGAACAAGAGAGAGACAAAAGGAGAAGGAGAUCCGGGAUGUCAGUCCUGCCCCAGGUGUGCAGAGAACCAGUCCACAUGGGGCAGGACUGAGGGCUGUGGGACAGCUGUGUUCACAAAGAGGAAGCUGGUGAAUUGUCAGGUGUGGUUGAAUAUAUUCAUGGACAUUUAGACUCUGGAGAGAGUAGUGGAAUCAUUUAGUAAUGAAUACAGAAAGUAAGCAAAUGAAGAAACAAGAUAUCUGUUAACUCUAGGGAACAUAAAAAGUUGAUUCAAGACAGGAAAAGUAAUCAUAGUCUACAAGAUGCUCAGUUGUGACUAAUGUUUACCUGGUGAUAAUGCAAACACUGCACAUUGAACUUAUCAGAAUUGUAAAGUAAUUAUAUUGGGUGGAUGGGGGUGUGUGAAAGGAAAGCCAGUUUAUUAAAGAUGAUGCAUAAAACUGAAUAACAAAGAAGGAGUAUUGGAAGUAUUCUGUUUAAAGGCAUAGAAGUAACAAUCAGAGAAUCAGCAAAAAGAACUGAAACAAGUUGUCUGUGAGAUUCAGGAAAAAGGCGGGGUUGGUGGGGGGGCGUUGGGCAUCUGUCUUCCUAAGAAGCCUUGUGGAAGCACUGGACCUUUUAAACUCUGUGCAAAUGGAUGUUUAGUAAAAAUAGAAAGACAACAUGGUAGGUGA